Molecule: ribosomal RNA, 446 nt
Filed under: uncultured bacterium
Lineage: Bacteria
Description: bacterial SSU rRNA
Rfam family: Bacterial small subunit ribosomal RNA
Source: RNAcentral
CCCAGACUCCUACGGGAGGCAGCAGUCGGGAAUAUUGCGCAAUGGAGGAAACUCUGACGCAGUGACGCCGCGUGCAGGAAGAAGGUUUUCGGAUUGUAAACUGCUUUAGACAGGGAAGAAACAAGACAGUACCUGUAGAAUAAGCUCCGGCUAACUCCGUGCCAGCAGCCGCGGUAAUACGGAGGAUGCGAGCGUUAUCCGGAUUUAUUGGGUUUAAAGGGUGCGCAGGCGGCGUGUCAAGCAAGCGGUAAAAUAGCGGGGCUCAACCCCGUCGAGCCGUUUGAACUGGCGCGCUUGAGUUCAGGCGAGGUAGGCGGAAUUCGUGGUGUAGCGGUGAAAUGCAUAGAUAUCACGAAGAACUCCGAUUGCGAAGGCAGCUUACCAGUCUGCGACUGACGCUCAGGCACGAAAGUGUGGGUAUCGAACAGGAUUAGAUACCCGGGUAU